AGUGAACGCUGGCGGUAGGCCUAACACAUGCAAGUCGAACGGCAGCACAGUAAGAGCUUGCUCUUACGGGUGGCGAGUGGCGGACGGGUGAGGAAUACAUCGGAAUCUACUUUUUCGUGGGGGAUAACGGAGGGAAACUUACGCUAAUACCGCAUACGACCUACGGGUGAAAGCAGGGGAUCUUCGGACCUUGCGCGAUUGAAUGAGCCGCUGUCGGGUUAGCUAGUUGGCGGGGGAAAGGCCCAGCAAGGCGACGAUCCGUAGCUCGUCUGAGAGGAUGAUAAGCCACACUGGAACGUAGCCACGGUCCAGACUCCUACGGGAGGCAGCAGUGGGGAAUAUUGGACAAUGGGCGCAAGCCUGAUCCAGCCAUACCGCGUGGGUGAAGAAGGCCUUCGGGUUGUAAAGCCCUUUUGUUGGGAAAGAAAAGCAGCAGGUUAAUACCCCGCUGUUCUGACGGUACCCAAAGAAUAAGCACCGGCUAACUUCGUG
Molecule: ribosomal RNA, 492 nt
Filed under: uncultured bacterium
Lineage: Bacteria
Description: partial 16S ribosomal RNA
Rfam family: Bacterial small subunit ribosomal RNA
Source: RNAcentral